CCUACGGGAGGCUGCAGUGAGGAAUAUUGGUCAAUGGGCUUACGCCUGAACCAGCCAAGUCGCGUGAGGGAAGACUGCCCUAUGGGUUGUAAACCUCUUUUGUCAGGGAGCAACGCCGGCUACGUGUAGCCGGACUGAGAGUACCUGAAGAAAAAGCAUCGGCUAACUCCGUGCCAGCAGCCGCGGUAAUACGGGGGAUGCGAGCGUUAUCCGGAUUUAUUGGGUUAAAAGGGGGCGUAGGCGGAAUGCCAAGUCAGCGGGAAAAUCGCGGGGCCCAACCUCGCUCCGCCGUUGAAACUGGCGUUCUUGAGUGGGCGAGAGGUAUGCGGAAUGCGUGGUGUAGCGGUGAAAUGCAGAGAUAUCACGCAGAACUCCGAUUGCGAAGGCAGCAUACCGGCGCCCAACUGACGCUGAAGCACGAAAGCGUGGGUAUCGAACAGGAUUAGAUACCCUUGUAGUC
This 460-nucleotide ribosomal RNA is filed under the name uncultured bacterium. RNAcentral's name for it is "partial 16S ribosomal RNA". It matches the Rfam family "Bacterial small subunit ribosomal RNA", at positions 338 to 795 of the family's 1533-position model. The record is from RNAcentral.